RNA transcript from Xenopus laevis (African clawed frog), 3223 nucleotides. It is a transcript of the gene named transforming growth factor beta regulator 1 L homeolog, with no coding region annotated. Lineage: Eukaryota; Metazoa; Chordata; Amphibia; Anura; Pipidae. The transcript has 10 exons. The record is from RefSeq and is marked provisional.
AGCGACCAGAAGCGGAAAAGGAAAGGGAGGAGGAAGUGCAAAGGUAAACAGAGCGUUCUGCUGCAGGAAAGGAAUGUAAGGCGAGUUGUUAUGGUAUCGAAGCAUGUUUGAAAUGCGUGUAUAGAUCAGAUUCGGCCGAGUGUUAAGACGUGCAUAAUGAAUCAUUCUCCUGCUGCCACCUUCUCUCCACAUUCAAGGUAUCAAGAACUAAAAGCAAAAAAUAAAAAGUCCACCAAAAAAAGCCAUAAGGAGAAGUACAGACUAAAAUGUCUCCGUUUGAGACGUGUUGCCAAAGCUAUGGUAUUUGAAAAUGCUGCUCUUUGUGAUGAAAUCGCACGUAUUGAAGAUAAAUUUAUCAAAGCGAAGGAGGAAAGAAGAUUUUUAUUAAAAAGACUGCUACAGUUGCAGACUUUAAGUGAAGAAGAACCAGGCACAUCACAUAAUUCCAACGUGUCAACUGGUUACAGUGUACCAGACAUGGCAGGGAUGAAUGAAGGAAACCUUGAUAUGUGUUUUUCAAGCGUUCUUGAUGAUGGAGGUUCAUGUAAGAAGAUAAAGAAGGAUAAAAGAGAAAAGGGAAAGGAAAACAAAUCAGAAGCUAUGAAGAAACCUUCUAAGAAAAAAAGAGUUACAGAAGGAACCACUAGAAAGUGGGUUCAGCCUAUUGCUUUGGAUCAAUGUGGAAGGCCUGUGUUACCAAUAGUUUUAAAAGGACUGACAGUGUAUAGCCUUGGCGAGAUCAUUUCAGACCGUGCAGAAUUUCAUGAUAAAGUUGCCAUUUAUCCUGUAGGCUUUUGUAGCACUAGAGUUUACGUUAGCAUGAAGAACACCGAUCAAAAAUGUCUCUACACUUGCCAGAUAAAAGAUGGUGGCACAAGACCACAGUUUGAGAUUGUACCAGACGAUGAUCCUCAGAAUUCCAUUGUAGCAAAUUCGGCCAAUGAAUGCCAUUCCAUCCUUCUGCAAAAAAUCAGCACUUCAUUAGGAAAAAGGUUUUCUACACCGGAUCUUGCAGGAGCAUAUUUCUUUGGAUUUACUCAUCCUACUAUUCAGAAUUUAAUACAGAGUUGCCCCGGAGCACGAAAAUGUACAAGGGAGGCGUGGCUCAGGGGGAGACGAGAUGCACUGUACGCCGCUGAGUCGAUACCGUGCCCUGGGGAAUCCCUGCGAGAGACCCGCAGCACUAGCCAUCACAGAGGCUAUUAGCCGCUGAAUCGCUUCCGUGCCCUGGGGGAUACCUGCGAGAGGCCCGCCGUACCAGUACCCGCAGUACCGGCCAUCACAGAGGCUAUCCGCCGUGAAAAACCACGCACCAGAAAGUACGCUAGAGAACCUCUUCCAUAUCCUAGGUGAUUCUUGCUAUAGGCCCGCAGCACCAGCCACUACAAAGGCUAUUAGCCGCUACAGCAACGCACCAGGCAAUUGUAAAUAAUGCAAGCUGCCGUACCCGGGAUGAACAGCUGAACUGCGGCUAACAUUACUAAGAGUAGCACUCUGCACGCUACUUCACUCCGGGUGAGCCAGAAGAGAGGGCUACACCAACGAUCAUCAAAGCUUCUAUUAGCUUCUUUAGCAGCGCAGCUUAUAACUAUAGGUAUAACCUAUAACUGCACAAAGCUGAACUCGGAGAAACACUGUGAGAAAUUCUCAGCCCUGGCUACACCUGUGACACGCGCAUAUAGCAUAAAUCGGCUGAACAGCAGAACCGCUGUAGUAAUUCCGGAUGAGCUAUGCGGAAACCCGCAGCACUAGCAAUUAAACCAGCCUUCAACCAGUCAUUAUCAGCUGACCUAGUUGCCAAAGAUACAACUGUUGCACUUCACUGAACCCUGUGUAAGUCCUGUAAGAGGUCCUCAGCUCAGGUUCUACUAACUGCUAAAUUUGUUGAAUCCAAUGGGGAGAACGGGAACAGUGAAGGACAAACUCCCUGCAAUAAAAAUAUCUGAGGCAAAGUCUCCAGGAGUACAAUUGCUUGUGGUUAACUCGCCAGCAUUAAAGAAAAAGGCGGUGAACUCUCCGGCAAUUACCCAGCACCAAGGAAUGAGGGAAAUGGCAUUGGGAGAACUGGCUCCAUUAUUAACCUAAAGGAACUGCACGAGACAGUACUGCUGUGGUGGCUGGUUGCAUGGAGAGGGAGAAGGAAAGAGAGGGCUAUAAGCUGCAAUUGAUAGAAGACUCUGAAAGUGAAAAGGAGGAGCUUUUCACUUUCAGAGUGAAGCUGACAUAAAAGCUAUGCUGCAGGAUGUGGCUAUGUCCAUCAAGGAAGACAUACAGGAGUUAAAGAGGGAUAUGAUAGCUCUCUCGUCACGGACAGACAAUGUGGAACAUAAUACCAGUAAGUCCCUUAAAAAAUCAAGCAAUCAUUUACAAGCAAGUCAGGCAACAAGAUAUCGCCAUAUAUGAACUACAAAGACAAAUAGAAGAUCUAGAAAACAGAAGCAGAAGAAACAACAAACAAGUAAGGGGAAUCUCUGAAGCAGUCCAAUCACUACAGCAAAUUUUUAACAGUAUUCUGAAAAGAGAUCUAAAUAUGGACAUCACAAUAGAAAGAGCCCACAGGGUGUUUAAAUCAAAGGCAGCUCCUCCAAACGCUCCAAGGGACAUCAUCUAUUGCCUGCACAGUUUUUCCUUGAAGGAAACCAUACUCUCUAAAGUGAGAGAGAUAAGUAAUCUCGCAUAUGAGGAUAAUAAGAUUACUCUAUUUCAAGAUCUCUCUCAAAUCACUUUAUCAAAAAGGAAUCUCCUUAAACCUCUUACUGACUUACUCAAAAGUAACAAUAUCCUCUAAAGUUGGGGAUUUACAUUUUCUCUGCAGGCUUCUAAGGAUGGGAUAGCUGCAGUAUUAAGAUCUCCUUCCGAUACAGAUAACUUUCUCAAGAAACUACAACUCCCUGCAAUUGAACUACCGGGAUGGUCUACAGACAUCACCAAACUUCCUAACCUCUCAUUUGAGAUUCAAGGAAAAUGGUCACAAGUUCCACAACGAAAGAGCACUCCUUAAUCUAAAUCUUGGUGAAUGUACCCGUGAGACUAUAUUUAUUAUUUACUCGAACUGCUUACGGAACAAGACAUCACCUUCACCACUGUGUUACCAGUGGGUGAAGUUUGAAGUAUGCAAAGCUGGCGAAGAGCAAGUUCCUCAUGACAUUUGUGAGAGCAGCGCUUCAGUUAACUUUGAAGCCUUUCAAAGACAGAGUUUUGAAUCUAUUAAAAAUAGUAACGU